This is a long non-coding RNA of Arabidopsis lyrata subsp. lyrata, 1629 nucleotides long. RefSeq lists it as uncharacterized. The record is from RefSeq and is a predicted model, not a curated record. The transcript has 3 exons. Lineage: Eukaryota; Viridiplantae; Streptophyta; Magnoliopsida; Brassicales; Brassicaceae.
UAGCCAAAAAAAUUAGACUUAGGUCCGUAGUAUCUCCACCACAAAGAACAAAUUAUAAACACCAACAACAGAAAAAAAAUCACUCGACGGAGAAUUUUCGUUAUUCUCCGAUCUACAUCUGUUCUCUCUUCUCUCUACUUCUUCUUCAUCUUCUUCUCUUUAUUUUCUGCCGAUCUUUCUUCUCAGAUCUGUCGUUCUUCUGCUGAAAUCGAAUUUGGAACAAAGAUCUACAUACCCUUGAUUCAAUUGUUAUUUUGAUUCAGUGUUGGAGCAACGGAGCAACGGAGUCGCGAGGGUGGUGACGAGGAUGCGGAAGAUGGAAGAAGAAGAAGCUGAGAGGCGGAUCCAUCGGCAGCGUCACCGUGGAGGAGAAUCGCCACAGGAAGGGAGAAGAUGAACGACAAUAAUCUCGACGAAACGGUCAAAGGGGAAUCAAAGAGAGAGAGAUUCAUGUCUCGGCCAUUCCUUUUUUAAGCACCGACUUCCUUCUCGAUGGCUGGAGAGGUUUGGGAGCUGUUCAUGAGCUCAUAAAAAGAGAAAGGGUCUACGAGGAGGUUGAUUUUGAAUUUGCUUCUCAUUUCGGUUUGAUUUUGAAUUGAAUCAGACUUUGGUUUUUUUUUUUUAUUUGUCUUCCUUUUGAUGUGAUUUGGUUUUGUAGGGCAUUGAGAAGCUUGUAAAAACCCACCGUUGAAAAGUGAGAAACCAAAAAUGUUUUGUGUUUUAGGUUUUUAUCUCGAUUUAGCUUGACAGGUAAAGUUUUGAUUUUAUGUUACUUAAUCAUCGCAGAUACUAAAUCGAAUUGCCAUGGCCAAGAACUCCUUCAAGCUUUCUAAAUCCUCUAAGUUAGUUUUGUUCUUUUCUCUCUUCUUCUUUUUACUUUUUGAUUGAUUGAUAUCACUUGAUAAGAGUUUAAAGAAUUUUUGUUGAUGAUGUUUACUUCUUUGGUUUCUUUUGAUCUUGUGUUGCUUUGGAUUGUGUUGUGAUUCUGAUCUUUGUUUAAGGAACUCAAUUUUGAUUAGCCUGGUUACGAGUUUGAGAUUGGUUUCUCUGUUUGUUGGUGAUCAACAUCUAUAAGUAUGUUAACCUUGACUGGUUUUAGUUGUUGUGCUUAAGUCAGGUUUUUGUCUUAUGCAUUGACUCUGAGUUUCACUCCUAUGCUUAUCUAUAUUUGCUGAGACUGUUGUUAGAAGUAUUGCUAAGGAAGUGUUGUUUGAUUUCGCAUACCUUUUUAUGCUCUUGUAAAAGCUUAUUAUUUUGUCGUCUUGCCUUGGCCAGAGUUUGUUUACUAUUUUCUUAGACUACAGUUUGCAAUGUCUUCGAUGUAUAGGUUGAAGCAACUGUUAGAGCUACAGGGCAGUAUCCAGAACGUUUAGGUGAACCCCCAUGCCAGUGAGUGCAGCUCAAGAUAUUGUUGUCUCAAGUGCAGUCUCAAGUCAAGUCCCAAGUGAGUGUGCAGCCCAAAAUCUAUAUAGAUUAGAAAUUAGGCUCAGCUUAGAUGAGAACAAGUUUGUUAAUUUUGGCACUUGUAAUCUUAGUUUAAGCCUUGGAUUGAGACUUUUUACUUGUAUGGUGUGGAUGAUUUAUGAAAUAUAAAUAUUUUAUAUAAAUUUCAAAAGAGGUUUUCGCAAA